Long non-coding RNA from Triticum dicoccoides, 3076 nucleotides. RefSeq lists it as uncharacterized. NCBI's taxonomy places the organism in Eukaryota, Viridiplantae, Streptophyta, Magnoliopsida, Poales, Poaceae. The record is from RefSeq and is a predicted model, not a curated record. The transcript is spliced from 3 exons.
AUCCUCACUCAUGACAUAGACCUAGCCGCCAUGGCACGACCAUGGCCAUGGCGGCGGCCAGAUCCACCCCUCCCUCAUCCCCUCGCCGCUGCCACCUCCUCCCUGUCCUGCAGCGGCGCGUCCCGCCACCACCUCCUUCCUCGACCGGUUCUCCUCCCGUCCGCGUCCCCUUCCCCACCCCCGCUCCCAGAUCGCAUGUUCGUCGGAUUGCAGGGCCAGUCUCGCCUGCUCCUUCUCCCACCCCGAUUCACCCAACCAAACCAGAGCAGACCGCAACACUCCACUACUCCUUUGCCCACCCUGAUUCCUCCCCAAUUCCAGCCGCCGCCACACCACCCGCCCAACUGCUCUCCCCUAGCCCCACCGCCAUCGGCCGGCGACCCCUUCUCCCCAAGCCCCUCCGGCGACCCUUCCUCAUCGGCGCUUGAAACCCUAGCCUCUCACGGACGGGGUGACAGAGAUGGCCAGGGAUCCACGCGUGUUCCAGCGAAGACGGCGCCAGAUCCCUUCCCUCAUAGUACAUAGGGGAUCUCGCCGCCGCCGCCGUGGUGGCCCUUGACGACAGCGAGGUAGGAGGCGGCCAGGUAUGCCCUCCUCCUACUUUCCCUGUUCUAGAUCUCCUCCAUAACCUGCUGCAUCUCCUCCCAUCUCAUGUGCCACUGCUUGCUUUGCUUUCUUCCUUCCAUGGGCAGAUGCAGAUCUCAUCUCUUCUUGUUCUGCGCCGGCCAGACCAUGACCACGGCUAGCUAGGAUGCACGACGGGCUGGACGACAAGGUGGAGAUCCUGGACACAUGGAGGGGCUACCAAACCGGUGCUGCGGCAAGAACGACUCCGCAGCCCAUACAGGAGGUGGACUGCAUACUGGAACUGCCUCACAUUGGAUGACAAAUUUGGUAACCUACAGCUUAAGGGCUUGGCUUGGGUCCCCGUGCCAUACAUGGAGGAGUUUCAGGAAGCCUACUCGACCUCUCUCCUCGCCGCGACCCAACCAAAAAGUACCUUUCUCCAACGUGAUUUGCCCGCGCAGAUUUUUAGUCUGUUUACACCUAAACAUAACACUUUGUUUAAUAAACCAGACACAUAGUUUACUUGCAGCACCAUACCGUGUGAUGAUGUAUGAUGCCAGAUUUUCAGUCUGCUUGCACCGGAACAUAACACCAUGUGUUUUAUAGCACCACUUUGUAUCACAUGACAAUGCAUGGUUUUCGUAUUAAAAGUUUGAAUGCCAUAUUACUCGAAUGCAGAAAUUGACCCAAGGUAUCAGUUGAAGUCACGUUAUCAUCAUCAGUCUGUUGAACAUAACUUACAAGGGUUUUGAUCCAGUUGGUGACUUGCUUAGCUUGCCGCAGAACCCGUAGAUUAUCUACUUUAUGCUUCUGAUGUAUCAUUCUUUGAAAACUCAGCUCCUACUAUUCACCUCGUAGAUUUUUUAUUCUGCAACAUAUUUGGUUUUGUCAUAAAAUGAUUGAAUUAUUCUGAAGAAGUAUAGUGUAACCUUCCAGUGCGAGAAAAUGGUCUUGCGGUCUUAAUUUAGUCUGAUUAAAAAAUUGGUCAUGCUCACGAGCAGUAUAUAUGCACUUGCUCGGUUGAUUGUUAGUAGUUUAGCUACACAAACUGACUGACAUUGCACAAUAAAAUGUAGUAGAUUUGCAGCCCACUAGCACAAACUGACUGAUAGCAAUUCUCUCUCUCAUAUAGAAGUACAUGCUAUCUGAUGUGAGCAAAAUCAUUGCGUAACUACAGGUACAACAUAUGACUAAUUUACAUAGUAUACUAAAACUGGACCCCAUGCAUUCAGUUUCAGAACUUCAAACUAACCUGACUAGUAGCUUCUCUGGCUUCCAGUUUACAACUUCCAGGAUAUCAAUCAUUCAUUCUCAAGUUGCUACCCGGCAACUACAAGACACCUUGUUCUGGAAUUUUCAUGUUCUUUUUAUGUGUAUAUGCCUUCCUCUUUGAUUUCAAGCUUGUGAUUGAGGUUAAUUGAUGGUGGCGCUUGCGCGAUGCAGAUGUUCGGGAUGGCGGAGAAGGAGAUGGAGUACGGGUCGAGCUUUGAACCUUUAUUGUGUUGAAUUCUUACUAGACACAGAACAAAAUUUGGCUCACAUGUUUCUUUAUGCUCUGAAUGUUCAAUAGUUUUGAACCUUUAAGCUACUGUUUUGACAUUAAGUGGAUUACAUGAAUCAGUUUGAUACUAUUUUGGUGUUACUUUAGCUUUAAACUAGUCUCCCUUUCUCAUGGUCACUUGUAUUUGCCAAUUAUAAGGAUUUUCUCCAUGGAAAGAAAAUAUCAGUAGAUUUCAAAUUCUAAACUGAUGCACUAUGAACAAAAACUUAUUCCCCGUUGUGGUGGGAUUAUUGCACUAUUUGCUUGCUACUGUACCAUGGUAUCUAUAGGUUAUUAGUAUUGUUGAUCCCGGCCAUGAGCUUGAAUGGUAUAGUAUUAGAAGAGCAUUAGUUUAAUCUGUAGCAGUGAGGUGACUGAUUUUUGUUCUUUCAUGCCAUGGUACAAUUAUGAUUGGAAUGGUAGCCACUUAACAUGUUAGAAUGUACUGAUUGUUUGUGUUGAUUCCUGGUCUGUAUUAGGGGUAUAAGUUUAUUACUUUCUAUCUAGGUUUGUUAGCUAUGGAUGAUUGCAGUGAUGUUCUUCUAAAUUUGAAAGAUAAAUGGCAUGUUCCUUGUUCUCACCUAUGAGUAGGUGUGAUAUUGUGUUAAGAUUCGUUUGUUUUGUAAGUUUUCAUCACACGAGAUGUUGUUCCUUAGAUGGAAAUGAGUGUUAUCAAGGACAUGGUUUUAGGUAAACCAGCACCUCUCAUCAGUCUUUCUUACUCAGUGUUAUCAUCUGCUUGGUUUUAGGUGAUGGACUCAUUUCCCGCGGUGGUUUUGCUUGCGUUUUCCUGAUGUUGUUUUGUGUCAGGUUCUGAUUUGCUUUGCUGCUAUUAUUUCUGUGGCGAUGCAGACUUGUGGUGACGAAGAGCAAGGACGAGAAGGACUCCAACAAACCCAAGCGCCCUCUGAGCACUGUCUUAGUCCUCAUCUUCAGGAAGGACUCCAACAUCAAGCAUGUCUCCAUGGU